Long non-coding RNA from Pomacea canaliculata, 1028 nucleotides. RefSeq lists it as uncharacterized. Lineage: Eukaryota; Metazoa; Mollusca; Gastropoda; Architaenioglossa; Ampullariidae. The record is from RefSeq and is a predicted model, not a curated record. The transcript is spliced from 3 exons.
GGGCUUGUAAGACAUGCUUACUGAGUCCACCAGGAGAAGGUAUCGAGAUUUAGUGAUCGACAAAUCUGUUCCUGGACGUAUAACGACAUUUAGGUCUUGUCUCCACUCAUGCUAACGAUGUUUGACAUACAACGCCUGUGGUCACUGCCUUAUCAACUGACAGUCUGACAUGUCUCACCCGAGAAAGGCCGCUCAGAAAUGUUGGCAGUCCUUGCUGAAUAAGCUGGAAUCCCUAUUCCGGAGACAUACUGGAAGAGAACAUCCCCAGGGAUUAUCUUACGAUUAUUUCUGUUUCUAAAGCUACUGUUGUGAUCACAUCUAGGACUCAUCCGCGCAAAGUCGCUUACGGUCUUCUUCGUGAUGUGGAGAAACUAGAAACGACUGUGUAUAUGUGCUAGAAGAGUAACUUAGUAUUCUAUGUACUGUUUUCAUACUUCUCUUUGAAAAAUCAUUUUUCAAAAAGUAGAACGUGCAGUGUCUGAUGUCAUUGAAAAUCCCAGCAGCCCCGCACUUGACCCUGGUUCCGCAAACGUGCCGCUAGCACCCUCUUCUUGAUGUUGUGACGUACAUACCACGUGGUGCGACGGACCCGAAACUUCUUGAACUGUCAAAAUAGAACUGUUUUGAAUCUGAACUCUACCCUGGAAUUGUGCAAGGUGGGAGAAACUGAGACUCAACAGUUCAAAACGUUGAACAUCCAAGAUGAUACCUGGACAAGCAACCUGAUGACUUUUGAUGUCAGAUUAUUACAGCUCAUUAUCUGUGUUCUCCCUGUUUUUGGAACUCUUAUAUAUAUACCAGAAGGAAUAUAAAAGAAGAACAUAAACAGAACACUUUGCAUCUCGUCGAAUGAAUAGUUACAGUAAAAAGUCAGUGGAUGCUUGUAUUGCUUCUGGUGAUUCCUGCAGGAAGAGUCCUCUCAUAGAGGCCAUUCCUGGUGCCCCUGCCCCUGGAUGGUGUGUGGACCUCAAUGACUAGGACCUGCCACUGUUUUGGAUACACUUGACUGCUGCAACUACAUGCAUGGU